GCGGGCUCUGCUGAGCGGGAUGUUUAUGGAAUGCCGUGUCUGCCACGUCCCAACCCACAGCACACUGAGUGCCCAGCAGCUGUAAAGGCUGCUCAUACCCCCCCCUUUAGAUUCUGAAAGGCUACUCUUAGGUCUCUUGGAGCCUUGGCCCUUCUCCAUGCUGCACAGCCCCAGCUCUCAGCCUGUCCUCAUAGGGAGAUGUUCCAUCCUUUGGAUCAUUUUUGUGGCCCUCCUCUGGAUGCACUCCAACAGCUCCACGUUUCCUGUACUGAGGAUUCCACAUCUGGAUGCAGUACUCCAGGU
RNAcentral lists this long non-coding RNA (303 nucleotides) under Gallus gallus (chicken). Lineage: Eukaryota; Metazoa; Chordata; Aves; Galliformes; Phasianidae. The record is from RNAcentral.